RNAcentral lists this transfer RNA (72 nucleotides) under Camelus bactrianus (Bactrian camel). It matches the Rfam family "tRNA". From Rfam's summary of the family: Transfer RNA (tRNA) molecules are approximately 80 nucleotides in length. Their secondary structure includes four short double-helical elements and three loops (D, anti-codon, and T loops). RNAcentral also lists the same sequence under 2 other names. The record is from Rfam by way of RNAcentral. Lineage: Eukaryota; Metazoa; Chordata; Mammalia; Artiodactyla; Camelidae.
GAGGGUAUAGCUCAAGUGGUAGAGCACAUGCUUAGCAUGCAUGAGGUCCUGGGUUCAUUCCCACUAACUACU